Lonchura striata (white-rumped munia) is the source of this 397-nucleotide non-coding RNA. The record is from RefSeq and is a predicted model, not a curated record. Lineage: Eukaryota; Metazoa; Chordata; Aves; Passeriformes; Estrildidae.
ACGCUCUGCAUCCCCCCACGCUAUGAGAGAAGGCCGGCGAUUGGCGGCCGCAGCCGGGUAAAAGGCCAGAGGACGGAGUGAGAGUCUCCUGCGAUCUCACCUGCUUGCACAAGGACUGGAUGGUGAUCGGCCUUGGUGCCUGAUAAAGAUGACCAUAAAUGACAUGCCACUUCUGGCCAGCCACUGCCCUUGUAAGCUGAGUGGAAGGCAGUCUGUUUUCAAUGGAAGAUCUGUUUGCUGGACAUCCUGCUUCCUCCUUCUGUCUGCUCUCUACCAGGGACUUGCCAUGGUAACACAGUGUGCCUGCAAAAUCAGUAUGAAAAAGAUAAAGCUGACUGGAGCACUCCUAAGAUCCAUUUAAAACAACCUGAAUAAAAUUACUUCAGAUUCAAAGUGA